CCUACGGGAGGCUGCAGUGGGGGAUAUUGCACAAUGGGGGAAACCCUGAUGCAGCGACGCCGCGUGUGGGAAGACGGUCCUCUGGAUUGUAAACCACUGUCCCCAGGGACGAAGAUGACGGUACCUGGGGCGGAAGCUCCGGCUAACUACGUGCCAGCAGCCGCGGUAAUACGUAGGGAGCGAGCGUUGUCCGGAAUUACUGGGUGUAAAGGGAGCGUAGGCGGGACUGCAAGUUGGGUGUCAAAUCUACCGGCUCAACCGGUAGCCGCACUCAAAACUGCAGUUCUUGAGUGAAGUAGAGGCAGGCGGAAUUCCUAGUGUAGCGGUGAAAUGCGUAGAUAUUAGGAGGAACACCAGUGGCGAAGGCGGCCUGCUGGGCUUUUACUGACGCUGAGGCUCGAAAGUGUGGGGAGCAAACAGGAUUAGAUACCCCGGUAGUC
This 440-nucleotide ribosomal RNA is filed under the name uncultured bacterium. RNAcentral's name for it is "partial 16S ribosomal RNA". It matches the Rfam family "Bacterial small subunit ribosomal RNA", at positions 338 to 795 of the family's 1533-position model. The record is from RNAcentral.